Molecule: long non-coding RNA, 569 nt
Organism: Xiphophorus hellerii (green swordtail)
Lineage: Eukaryota; Metazoa; Chordata; Actinopteri; Cyprinodontiformes; Poeciliidae
Exons: 2
Source: RefSeq, a predicted model, not a curated record
AGCCGCGCUGUUCGGCGGGGUUCAAAUCUCAACAUGUUUUAACAUAACUACUCUGAGUUAGACUGAAUGUUUAUUUUGUGUGUGUACUUUUACGCUAAAAAACGUAACUUGAAAUUACAGAGGUGGGGGUGUUCUAUGCAAAACUAGUUUAAUGUGAUGCAACUCCACUGUGCUAAUCACUGUGAGCUGCAGCCGGUGAAGCCAUUUUUUCCAGUCAUUAGCACUAGCGGUCGUUCUGCAUCGGGCCUACAUACAUUACCGAAAAUCCUCGCUAAAGCUACCCUGCACCCGAGAAAUGUAACUACAUGUUCACAAGGACUGUGAUUACUGCCUAGGCUUCAGAGGUGUUUUCUGGUUACUUAUGUAGGCACUGCCACUCAAUUAACAAGUGGGAGCAGCUUUUAGCGGUUAGCAUUCGUUUGCUAAUUAGCAUUAGCAUUUCUGGCUAGAACCCUGUUGUGUUAACUUCUCUUACCCACUUCUCUUUCCAGGCCUAGAACCAAGAAUCAUCAAACCACAUAAGAUUGUCAUGGCAAGUUCAAAACCUGCAAGACUGAAGGUGAUUCUAG